Oreochromis niloticus (Nile tilapia) is the source of this 448-nucleotide long non-coding RNA. RefSeq lists it as uncharacterized. The record is from RefSeq and is a predicted model, not a curated record. Lineage: Eukaryota; Metazoa; Chordata; Actinopteri; Cichliformes; Cichlidae. The transcript has 3 exons.
CCCAUGUUGGUGACACUGCCCAUCGAGGUACAGCCCAACUUGGCAAACCAACCCUUCCCUUUCUUGGACACCACACUGGCUGAUCUGGGCAUCCAAGAGUCAGAGGUGAAGGAGAGGGUGGUUUGGGUUGACACCAAGAAGACCCAGGUGAAGAACAAAGCAGGGAAGCUGGAGGAGAAAGAGAUCACCAUCCUAGAGAUACGAGUGAAAGCCCAGAAGCCAGGAGACAAACAGCUCCAGGAGGUCCUGUACAGCACCGAGGACCACACUGACCGCUCCUUCUGCUGCACUUGAAUGGAUAUCCUGCCCCAGAAACAGACGUGUGCAGGUCUGGAAGCAGUUUAAAUCCCAUACUUUUUUGAUCUGUGAGGCUCUUAAUGUCACGUCUGCUGCCAUUAAAGUCAGCUCAGGGUUUCUUGAUUCUGAUUUUUCUUUGCUGUGUCACUGU